RNAcentral lists this ribosomal RNA (1035 nucleotides) under Salmonella enterica subsp. enterica serovar Kentucky. Its description in RNAcentral is "bacterial SSU rRNA". It matches the Rfam family "Bacterial small subunit ribosomal RNA", at positions 1 to 1027 of the family's 1533-position model. Lineage: Bacteria; Pseudomonadati; Pseudomonadota; Gammaproteobacteria; Enterobacterales; Enterobacteriaceae. The record is from RNAcentral.
AAAUUGAAGAGUUUGAUCAUGGCUCAGAUUGAACGCUGGCGGCAGGCCUAACACAUGCAAGUCGAACGGUAGCACAGAGAGCUUGCUCUCGGGUGACGAGUGGCGGACGGGUGAGUAAUGUCUGGGAAACUGCCCGAUGGAGGGGGAUAACUACUGGAAACGGUAGCUAAUACCGCAUAACGUCGCAAGACCAAAGUGGGGGACCUUCGGGCCUCACACCAUCGGAUGUGCCCAGAUGGGAUUAGCUAGUAGGUGGGGUAACGGCUCACCUAGGCGACGAUCCCUAGCUGGUCUGAGAGGAUGACCAGCCACACUGGAACUGAGACACGGUCCAGACUCCUACGGGAGGCAGCAGUGGGGAAUAUUGCACAAUGGGCGCAAGCCUGAUGCAGCCAUGCCGCGUGUAUGAAGAAGGCCUUCGGGUUGUAAAGUACUUUCAGCGAGGAGGAAGGCGUUGUGGUUAAUAACCACAGCGAUUGACGUUACUCGCAGAAGAAGCACCGGCUAACUCCGUGCCAGCAGCCGCGGUAAUACGGAGGGUGCAAGCGUUAAUCGGAAUUACUGGGCGUAAAGCGCACGCAGGCGGUUUGUUAAGUCAGAUGUGAAAUCCCCGGGCUCAACCUGGGAACUGCAUUUGAAACUGGCAAGCUUGAGUCUCGUAGAGGGGGGUAGAAUUCCAGGUGUAGCGGUGAAAUGCGUAGAGAUCUGGAGGAAUACCGGUGGCGAAGGCGGCCCCCUGGACAAAGACUGACGCUCAGGUGCGAAAGCGUGGGGAGCAAACAGGAUUAGAUACCUUGGUAGUCCACGCCGUAAACGAUGUCUACUUGGAGGUUGUGCCCUUGAGGCGUGGCUUCCGGAGCUAACGCGUUAAGUAGACCGCCUGGGGAGUACGGCCGCAAGGUUAAAACUCAAAUGAAUUGACGGGGGCCCGCACAAGCGGUGGAGCAUGUGGUUUAAUUCGAUGCAACGCGAAGAACCUUACCUGGUCUUGACAUCCACGGAAGUUUUCAGAGAUGAGAAUGUGCCUUCGGGAAC